RNAcentral lists this ribosomal RNA (468 nucleotides) under uncultured bacterium. Its description in RNAcentral is "partial 16S ribosomal RNA". It matches the Rfam family "Bacterial small subunit ribosomal RNA", at positions 28 to 507 of the family's 1533-position model. The record is from RNAcentral.
GACGAACGCUGGCGGCGUGCUUAACACAUGCAAGUCGAACGGAAAGGCCCUGCUUUUGUGGGGUGCUCGAGUGGCGAACGGGUGAGUAACACGUGAGUAACCUGCCCUUGACUUUGGGAUAACUUCAGGAAACUGGGGCUAAUACCGGAUAGGAGCUCCUGCUGCAGGGUGGGGGUUGGAAAGUUUCGGCGGUUGGGGAUGGACUCGCGGCUUAUCAGCUUGUUGGUGGGGUAGUGGCUUACCAAGGCUUUGACGGGUAGCCGGCCUGAGAGGGUGACCGGCCACAUUGGGACUGAGAUGCGGCCCGGCCUCCUACGGGAGGCAGAGGUGGAGAAUAUUGCACAAUGGGCGGAGGCCUGAUGCAACAACGCCGCGUGCGGGAUGACGGGCUUCGGGUUGUAAACCGCUUUCGCCUGUGACGAAGCGUGAGUGACGGUAAUGGGUAAAGAAGCACCGGCUAACUACGUG